UACAGAGGGUGCAAGCGUUGUUCGGAAUUAUUGGGCGUAAAGCGCACGUAGGCGGUCUAUUAAGUCGAAUGUGAAAUCCCUGGGCUUAACCCAGGACGUGCAAUCGAAACUGGUAGACUUGAGUAUCGUAGAGGAUAGUGGAAUUCCCAGUGUAGAGGUGAAAUUCGUAGAUAUUGGGAGGAACAUCAGUAGCGAAGGCGACUAUCUGGGCGAUAACUGACGCUGAGGUGCGAAAGUGUGGGUAGCAAACAGG
This 253-nucleotide ribosomal RNA is filed under the name uncultured bacterium. Its description in RNAcentral is "partial 16S ribosomal RNA". It matches the Rfam family "Bacterial small subunit ribosomal RNA", at positions 524 to 776 of the family's 1533-position model. The record is from RNAcentral.